AGUGAACGCUGGCGGUAGGCCUAACACAUGCAAGUCGAACGGCAGCACAGUAAGAGCUUGCUCUUACGGGUGGCGAGUGGCGGACGGGUGAGGAAUAAAUCGGAAUCUACUUUUUCGUGGGGGAUAACGUAGGGAAACUUACGCUAAUACCGCAUACGACCUACGGGUGAAAGCAGGGGAUCUUCGGACCUUGCGCGAUCGAAUGAGUCGAUGUCGGAUUAGCUAGUUGGCGGGGUAAAGGCCCACCAAGGCGACGAUCCGUAGCUGGUCUGGGAGGAUGAUCAGCCACACUGGAACUGAGACACGGUCCAGACUCCUACGGGAGGCAGCAGUGGGGAAUAUUGGACAAUGGGCGCAAGCCUGAUCCAGCCAUACCGCGUGGGUGAAGAAGGUCUUCGGGUUGUAAAGCCCUUUUGUUGGGAAAGAAAAGCAGCAGGUUAAUACCCCGCUGUUCUGACGGUACCCAAAGAGUAAGCACCGGCUAACUUCGUG
RNAcentral lists this ribosomal RNA (492 nucleotides) under uncultured bacterium. RNAcentral describes it as "partial 16S ribosomal RNA". It matches the Rfam family "Bacterial small subunit ribosomal RNA", at positions 29 to 507 of the family's 1533-position model. The record is from RNAcentral.